Molecule: ribosomal RNA, 871 nt
Filed under: uncultured euryarchaeote
Lineage: Archaea; Methanobacteriati; Methanobacteriota
Description: bacterial SSU rRNA
Rfam family: Archaeal small subunit ribosomal RNA
Source: RNAcentral
UUCCGGUUGAUCCUGCCGGACCUGACUGCUAUCGGAUUGAUACUAAGCCAUGCGAGUCAUUGUAGCAAUACAAGGCAGACGGCUCAGUAACGCGUAGUCAACCUACCCUAUGGACGGGAAUAACCUCGGGAAACUGAGAAUAAUGCCCGAUAGAACAUUAUGCCUGGAAUGGUUUAUGUUCCAAAUGAUUUAUCGCCGUAGGAUGGGACUGCGGCCUAUCAGUUUGUUGGUGAGGUAAUGGCCCACCAAGACUAUUACAGGUACGGGCUCUGAGAGGAGUAGCCCGGAGAUGGGUACUGAGACACGGACCCAGGCCCUAUGGGGCGCAGCAGGCGAGAAAACUUUGCAAUGUGCGAAAGCACGACAAGGUUAAUCCGAGUGGUUUCUGCUAAAGGAACCUUUUGACAGUCCUAGAAACACUGUUGAAUAAGGGGUGGGCAAGUUCUGGUGUCAGCCGCCGCGGUAAAACCAGCACCUCAAGUGGUCAGGAUGAUUAUUGGGCCUAAAGCAUCCGUAGCCGGCUCUGUUAGUUUUCGGUUAAAUCUGUACGCUCAACGUACAGGCUGCCGGAAAUACUGCAGAGCUAGGGAGUGGGAGAGGUAGACGGUACUCGGUAGGAAGGGGUAAAAUCCUUUGAUCUAUUGAUGACCACCUGUGGCGAAGGCGGUCUACCAGAACACGUCCGACGGUGAGGGAUGAAAGCUGGGGGAGCAAACCGGAUUAGAUACCCGGGUAGUCCCAGCUGUAAACUAUGCAAACUCAGUGAUGCAUUGGCUUGUGGCCAAUGCAGUGCUGCAGGGAAGCCGUUAAGUUUGCCGCCUGGGAAGUACGUACGCAAGUAUGAAACUUAAAGGAAUUGGCGGGGCAGCAC